GGAUGUAGUUCAGUUGGUUAGAGCGUCAGAUUGUGGUUCUGAAUGUCGUGGGUUCGAAUCCCACCCUC
RNAcentral lists this transfer RNA (68 nucleotides) under uncultured Prevotella sp. The stretch from base 5 to 65 matches the Rfam family "tRNA", at positions 7 to 64 of the family's 71-position model. From Rfam's summary of the family: Transfer RNA (tRNA) molecules are approximately 80 nucleotides in length. Their secondary structure includes four short double-helical elements and three loops (D, anti-codon, and T loops). Lineage: Bacteria; Pseudomonadati; Bacteroidota; Bacteroidia; Bacteroidales; Prevotellaceae. The record is from RNAcentral.